ACAGAGAGAGAGAGAGAGAGAGAGAGAGAGAGAGAGAGAGAGAGAGAGCCCAGAAACUGGCUAUAAAAAGUUACUUAAAAUGACAACUACAGUUAGAAAUAGUUGUGAUAAAUUCCAGAGGACAGUGGAAAAGUAUCUUCAAGGAUCUAAGGCAAUCUUAAAUCCGCUAAAUCUGCUAAACUAGUGUCUUAUACCCAGCUAAACUAGCAUUUUAAAAAGCAGGUUAAAAACAGAAGCAAUUUUAGAAAUUUUUUUUUAAAAGUUUUUUUAAAAAACCAGUCUUGAAUAUUCACAAAACAGAUCACUAGAAUCUGGGUAAUAAGAAGAAAAACAAGUCUCAAGGCAAGGUACAGAAAAUAAGAAAUUAUUGUAGGUUCCAAAAUCUAUUACAAGCACUUCUGACUACAAACACAAAGCUGAAGUUUAAAAUGAAGAUUGGGAAAAUCUGAAAGGAGAGAUAAUGCUCAUUGGGUGGUGUAGAUGCCCACCAUGCCUCCCACCUGUCCCUGACUGGUCUAGGUAUUCUCAGUCAUAGGGAUUUUAACAGACUGGCCAGGAACUCUCAUAAGAAACCAGAUGAUUCUAUAAGCUUGUGCUCUUUGACUCGAGUCGUUUUUACGGUAAAACCAGCCAGCCACUGCCCAUAGAUGGCUCCGUGAGGUAACUGCCUAGCUUCAUAAAAAGUCUGUGUCUUUUCCAACAGGCGAAAGGAGGCCUUCCCUGGGUGCAGAGUUAUGUAAUUUGUCUAAAUCACACAGCACUAAAGGAAGAGCAAACCCACAAAUUUGGGUGUGUCUGUGGAGCACAUUCACUUCAGCAGAUGUUCAGUUGCUCAGAGACACAGACAGCUCCCUCCUGCCGCCUGUGACCCCUGGGAACAGGAGUGUCCGAUGGUGGCUGAGCCUGGCCACGGGCCCCAGCCAACCAGUACAGAGAAGGAAGGAGCUCACUAUGCCCCGGCUCUUCUCUCCUUCCGCCCUUCUCCACAUGCAAGAGGCCAAGAAACUAAACUGCCUAGACUGCAGGUUAGCUUGUAGAUACCAGUGGGUUUUUUGAGUUGAUGAAAUAAUUUAAUCCAAACCUUCCUUUUCCAUGGGGAUCAAAUUACGAGAAGGUCACAAAACCCGGUUCUGUUGUUCUCAGUCCCGACAGUGCCAGAGAGGGUGUCAAAUUUUGUUGUUGUUGCUCAUACUGUGGUUUAUAGUUGGAACUGUGUGCAGUCACGGCUUUCUUCUCUCCUGGGCACUCUGAUUCGUACUGAAACAUCUCUCGUGUACAAGUCAUGACUGGAGUAUCCUGAGCAGCUCUCAGAAGAGCCACUUCCUUGGGCAGAUCCAGGCCACAAAGUUGCUGGGGAACAUUGGUUGCCACCCUCUAAACGGACAAGCCUUUUGUGAACAGUCCAAAACCAGCAAAUGACCCAGGAGUUAGGGCCACCCUGGGAUGAAAGUAGGAGGGUCUUUUUCCCCUGUCCUUUAUUCCCUUGGGGGACCCUAUGAGCUAAGCCGCAGGAGUCCAAUAGUCUUAGUGCCACGGACUCUUGGUUGGCCCCGCAGAGAUUGAUCCAAGAUGAAAGUUUGCCGAGCGAGCCAGGCACUCUGCCGCAGUUGGGGUAAGUCAAGCUGGUGUGCCAGUGGGUGAGUCAGCGACCGAAAUGCCCUCUCUUCAUUGCAUAACUCUAAACACAGGCUUUGCCUUCCCGAUAAUCACUCUCCUGGCGGUGGCACAGCAGGGCUUAUUUCCUGAAGACAUGCGUGGGAAAAAAAAGUUUUCCAGGCAGACUUAGACACUCAGGCUUCCAUGCUGUAAGGAACAGUACUUCCUUCCUCUCCAGCGCUGGUGAUAUGACUCACAGCAAAACGUGAAGAUGACUUUCCUGAUGCACCAAAUGGCAGCUGGCUGUAGCGACUCAGGCUUGUGGUCCCCAGCACUCCGGAGGAUGAGGCGGGAGACCCAUGACAUUGAGUCUAGGGCUACAUAUCUGGACCCUGUCUCAAAACAAACUGAUAAACCAGCAGACAAAUAUCAAGAAUGAAGAACUUGAGCAAUAAGAGGAAACGCAUCAAGUGCUAGACACGUGGUACAUCCUUCUCUCUACCUAGCUAUAAUGACCCUCAUAUUCUGCCCGUUAUACAGGAAUAGAAUUCCUUCAAGGACCAUUUCUUACAGGAGAGGGAAGACAUGGAGGCACAGUAAAUGGGUAGGUGACAGGCAAAUGGAGAGCCUGGCACUCAUGUCAAGGACAAGAUAAAGCCUGUCUGCACGGGCUGAAGUAGGGACAUUCAGCAAAGUGGUUUUUCUCUGGGCUGUUUGGUGCUUACAGUUUGCCCAGAUCCUAACCCAAACUCAAACUGGAACUUCCUGGAUGGCGCCACCUUGCCUUGGCAAUCCUUAAUUUAUUAACUCAAAAUGCUUCCCAGAUCCUGCCCAAGACCUCUCUAACCUGGCUCCCAACUCUCUGUGCUCAGACUCACUGGCCUGCACUGUCACAGCUUUGAAUGGGACUGUCCUUGAGAUCCAUAAAGAAGUACUUCCCCCGGAUCCCUCACCAGCCCAAGGCCACUUGCAACCUUCAUGGGGGUGUGGGGGGGGGGGGGAGAAACACGACACUGUCCUGGUUUCCACUGGCAGCAACGGUUACUCAGGCUGCCUCCAAACAGCCAGAAGAGUUCCAGAGUCCACAGAUCUUGCUUCUCAGUGGCACACACAUUCAUAGACUUCUCUAAGGUGCUUCCCUGCAGGAGAGCUCUCUGUGAGCUAGGUCCUUACACAGGAGUCUCUGCUGAGGAAAAGCCUUGGACGUGGGGUUAGGAAAGCUGUCAGAGGCUGUUUUGCACAACAUCAAACACAUUCCAGGCCUUAUCUAAUCAGGGAGCCUUCUUCAACAGCCAUGCAGAGGCUGUUCCUGCAAAGCAUUCCCCAGGCAGGGCGAGGGCCUUGAUUCUAGAGGCAGAGUAAUGGCUCUUUUGGCACAGGCAAAGCUGCCUGGCAGCUGGAGCUUUGAGGUAACCUCUGACCCUCUCCCACAGUUCCUCCCAAGUCCCGCCGCACCACUCUAAGCCACCCUCAAAUCCCAGGCUCUAAUUGGCUCUGGUUUGUUUUGCCUUUCUCUUCUGUCCAGUGCUUCAAAAGGCACUUCAAUAAUUGUUUGAGGCACGAAAAAGGCAGGGUUCAGCUUUCCUAACUGGAAUUGGAGGUAAUUACUGUCUUCCAUAUUCGAGCCGGUACAUGCUGCAAAUCACAUGGCUCUGGGUUGCUUUCCAGCGGGGUGGCCAGGUCUCAGAGCUACAAGGAGGAUUAUAGAACUUCACAAAGGCUCUGCUUCAGAGAGAGAAGAAUCGACAGGUCUCAGAAGUGCUAGAGGAGUUGUUUAUACUCUUCUGCUGUCCGCUCGAGACUGUCCUGAGAGGUUUGGUCUGAAGAGACUUCAACUCUACCCUGGAAGUUUGGGAUUUGCUUUUUUAUUUUGUUUGCUCUCAAUGGGCAGGAACUGACCCCUCCACACACACACACACACACACACACACACACACACACACACACACACACACACACACAUAAGCCCCUUCUUGUUUGAAAUUAAUAACCACAUGCUCGACCUAGGCUGCCCAACUUCAGAACAGAACUUCAAUGAGUGAGGCUAAGACCCACCUCCAAGAACCAGAAUAAGGAUUCCAUUUUGUGCAUUCAAAACAGCAAACCCAAAUGUGGAGAGUCUCUGGAUCAUCCCCCUUCUGCUCCUUGUGGACCCGGAGGGCCUUGUUUAAUCGAUCAGCUGAUUCACAGGACGUCACUCACAGUGAGAGCGGUUGCUGACCCAACCUCAGAGGGUGUGUGAGGUCCACAUGAGGUUAGCCCAUGUGAAGUGCCUGUCUGGGAUCUGUGUAUACCAAAUGUUCAAUAAAUAUCAGCUAACAGUCACUGUCAA
Mus musculus (house mouse) is the source of this 3928-nucleotide long non-coding RNA. RefSeq annotates it as predicted gene, 36132. NCBI's taxonomy places the organism in Eukaryota, Metazoa, Chordata, Mammalia, Rodentia, Muridae. The record is from RefSeq and is a predicted model, not a curated record. The transcript is spliced from 4 exons.